GGCAAGGCCGGCGUGCCUAAUACAUGCAAGUCGAACGAGUUCUCGUUGAUGAUCGGUGCUUGCACCGAGAUUCAACAUGGAACGAGUGGCGGACGGGUGAGUAACACGUGGGUAACCUGCCCUUAAGUGGGGGAUAACAUUUGGAAACAGAUGCUAAUACCGCAUAGAUCCAAGAACCGCAUGGUUCUUGGCUGAAAGAUGGCGUAAGCUAUCGCUUUUGGAUGGACCCGCGGCGUAUUAGCUAGUUGGUGAGGUAAUGGCUCACCAAGGCGAUGAUACGUAGCCGAACUGAGAGGUUGAUCGGCCACAUUGGGACUGAGACACGGCCCAAACUCCUACGGGAGGCAGCAGUAGGGAAUCUUCCACAAUGGACGCAAGUCUGAUGGAGCAACGCCGCGUGAGUGAAGAAGGCUUUCGGGUCGUAAAACUCUGUUGUUGGAGAAGAAUGGUCGGCAGAGUAACUGUUGUCGGCGUGACGGUAUCCAACCAGAAAGCCACGGCUAACUACGUGCCAGCAGCCGCGGUAAUACGUAGGUGGCAAGCGUUAUCCGGAUUUAUUGGGCGUAAAGCGAGCGCAGGCGGUUUUUUAAGUCUGAUGUGAAAGCCCUCGGCUUAACCGAGGAAGCGCAUCGGAAACUGGGAAACUUGAGUGCAGAAGAGGACAGUGGAACUCCAUGUGUAGCGGUGAAAUGCGUAGAUAUAUGGAAGAACACCAGUGGCGAAGGCGGCUGUCUGGUCUGUAACUGACGCUGAGGCUCGAAAGCAUGGGUAGCGAACAGGAUUAGAUACCCUGGUAGUCCAUGCCGUAAACGAUGAAUGCUAGGUGUUGGAGGGUUUCCGCCCUUCAGUGCCGCAGCUAACGCAUUAAGCAUUCCGCCUGGGGAGUACGACCGCAAGGUUGAAACUCAAAGGAAUUGACGGGGGCCCGCACAAGCGGUGGAGCAUGUGGUUUAAUUCGAAGCAACGCGAAGAACCUUACCAGGUCUUGACAUCUUUUGAUCACCUGAGAGAUCAGGUUUCCCCUUCGGGGGCAAAAUGACAGGUGGUGCAUGGUUGUCGUCAGCUCGUGUCGUGAGAUGUUGGGUUAAGUCCCGCAACGAGCGCAACCCUUAUGACUAGUUGCCAGCAUUUAGUUGGGCACUCUAGUAAGACUGCCGGUGACAAACCGGAGGAAGGUGGGGAUGACGUCAAAUCAUCAUGCCCCUUAUGACCUGGGCUACACACGUGCUACAAUGGAUGGUACAACGAGUUGCGAGACCGCGAGGUCAAGCUAAUCUCUUAAAGCCAUUCUCAGUUCGGACUGUAGGCUGCAACUCGCCUACACGAAGUCGGAAUCGCUAGUAAUCGCGGAUCAGCACGCCGCGGUGAAUACGUUCCCGGGCCUUGUACACACCGCCCGUCACACCAUGAGAGUUUGUAACACCCGAAGCCGGUGGCGUAACCCUUUUAGGGAGCGAGCCGUCUAAGGUGGGA
Molecule: ribosomal RNA, 1473 nt
Filed under: Lacticaseibacillus paracasei
Lineage: Bacteria; Bacillati; Bacillota; Bacilli; Lactobacillales; Lactobacillaceae
Description: bacterial SSU rRNA
Rfam family: Bacterial small subunit ribosomal RNA
Source: RNAcentral